Molecule: unclassified non-coding RNA, 519 nt
Filed under: Hevea brasiliensis (rubber tree)
Lineage: Eukaryota; Viridiplantae; Streptophyta; Magnoliopsida; Malpighiales; Euphorbiaceae
Source: RNAcentral
UCCUAUCUAUGAGAAAAUGUAUUCUGAGUAGGAAUAGUAGGUUCAUGCUGAUUGCUGGAGUCAGAAAAUCCUUUAAGUCACGCGAAAAUAGGGGUAGAAAGCAAUUUUAUUCCAUCUCUCACAUCUCUUCCGCUACUUUUUGGUUUCUACUUUCUGCAACAGUGCUUCUGUGGUUCUGCUCCUAUCUCCAUCCUCCUUUUUCUUUUAGCCUUCUUGUUUCCUAAAACCAAUUAGGUCCUGGAAUUAUGAAAAGCAAGAGAGUGCUGAAUUGAUGUGAGAAACAUGUGAUAGCUUUUUAUUUGAAAAGGCCUAGGCAUAGUGGAAUAUUGAAUAACAUUUGUUCUUCCUGUCCAAAUAGCUAAACCGAGAAGAUACUUGAAAAAUGAACUGGACUUAUUAUUAAGUUGCCUGAUAAAACACAUCUGUAAUAGCUCUUGUAUGGUUUAAAUCUGCUAUUUCAAUUUUGACUCUUGUUCCUUCCAAGUUCAAUGGAUGUGUUGGAAACCUGUAAAUUAGCCA